AAAUCGCGUCCACUAAGUGGUGUCGUCUGCCUGCAAGACCUGCACAGCUCCCAGGCCUAUGGCUUUGGGCACCAGGUGCUGCGCCAGCGUCUGGAAAUGAUUAAUUCCUGGGCACACCUGCUGUGUGCCCAGCCCUGGGGCUGAGGACGGAGCCCUUUCCUGCCAUCAUGGAGCCUGCAUUGCACGGGGGUUCCCAUUCCACCGUGACCUGGCAGGAGAUGUCAGACCGCAGCUGAGGGCCCUGCUGGUUUCCUACGAGGAGGCUGCAGAUGGGAAUGAGGACCUCACGGUCAAGGGCGUGGACACCUCCCGCCUGACAGAUGACACAUUUGUGAGUGGGUCCCCAGAGGUCUGCCCUGGCACCUGACAACCCCGGGAGGCAGGAACAGGUUAGAGCCAACUGUGGAGCUCAUCAGAGAGGUGACUUUCAGUACCAAAAGGGUGUUUUCCAAGGGAAAUCCUGCCGCACAGGGCAAAUGAAAGCAGGUCAGGGCUCACCAGUCACUGCAGAAUCCGCCGGCCCACAUGUCCCUGGUCUUCAGAGGUGGGAACAGCCAGCUGGGAAGGAAUCCACCUGCCCCCAUGGCCUGUGGAUCUGAGGACUCCUCUCCCACCUCCUGUGCCAACCAUUGUUUGGUGAAGGCGCCCUUGCUCCCAGCCCGCUCUCCUCUGACAUUCUUUGGUGAACAUCCCAUCUCCUUUUCUCCAGAACCAGCCGGCUCAGACCACCCACAUAUUUUACAGUUACUGGGCUUCUAUGUUCCACAGAGGGUGCUUGGCUGGGGGGACAGGGGAGGGGACAGAGCCUCAGGCCAGGUGCAGGGAGGACGGUGCUGGCCAUAGGGCUGGGGCAGCCUCAGGUCACACCACCAUUCCAGCACUCUCUGUGUGGCUCCAGGGACUCAGCGUCGCCACCUGGGAGUUGGGAUGGGGGCUCAGGCAGAGGCGCUGGUUCGUUGUCCCACAGAUCAAGCCUCUCUGAGUCCUCGGCUGUCUUGGUGGAGACUCCAAAGGGGACCGAGGAACCGCAGAAGGGACCGCACCUGCCCGGUGGCCAGCAACGGAAGGACGGCAGGGAGCGAACACACUCCAGCCCCUACGGUCUCUCCGCUCUCCCAGCUGAGCUGUCUUCCCCGGAGGCCGGGCUGCAACCCGAGAAGGCGCCGCGCCAUCGGCCCUCACCCUGCUCCGCCUAAGCUGCUGCUUUUCCUCUGCAAAUGCCCUGGGCUGGACGUCAAACCACAGUCAGGUAGGGGCGGCCCAGACCAGGGACCAGCAGCUGGUUCCCUCUGCCUGGUCUCACUUCUAAAGCCACUGGAAGAGGAAACACAUAAAAUGUGACUUUGCAGAGGAAUUCCAAUAAACAAGAUGUGUUUCCAAGUCUUCUGAGGCUGCCGAGACUGAGUAGCUGCGUGUGAGCAGCCACAACUCCUCUGUUGUCCUCCUGCAAAGUGUCCCCGCCCUCCCACUCAGGUCGCGUUCCUCCGGCCGCCCCCGGCUGCUCCCGCCACAGGAGACUGGACGGUGGGCUCUGGCCUUGGGGACCUCCGGCCCUGCCUGCAGCAGGCCCCAGUGUGUGUGGGCGAGAGGGCCGGGCCAGCUGACUCCUGUCUUUCUUUGGGACCACGUCAUCAAGCGGGCUGGAGCCAGAGGCUGGGCCCCUCUGUGUCCCGGGGAUCCUCACCCCCCAGGUCCCCAGUGCUGUCCUUGUCACCACUGAACGGCAGUUUCUCCCCACCCCGUGCUUCAGUUUACCUGUCCGGACCAGGGGUGGCAACCUCUUUUCCAGAACGGGGCAGAAGGUGCCCCCGUGGAUAAGCUGCACCCACCUAUCCCCAGGAGCACAGCCAGCACCUCUCAGGUGCGCCCCUGAGGUGUCUGUGGCACCUGUCUCUUAUCCAUCAUCAUUCUCCCAGGCAGACCCAGGGCGGGGCAGAUGCUGGCUCUGGCACCGCAGGAAGCACAUCUGGUCCAAGGCAUCUCAGAACCUGAGGCUCCGGGGUGUAGAAUGGACUUUGAGUUUCUGGAAGAGACCUUAGGAAACGUUGUGUCUGCAUUUCCAGGUGGCCGGUUGGUGGUGGGGGCGCCUCACUCCUCACCCUGUGCAGCAUCCUCAGCCUCUGCCUGCAUCUCUUGAGUCUGCUCUGGGUCAGCACUGGGGGUGAGGAGGUGAUGAGGGGCAGCGGCAGGGGCCGGGGGUCAAGAGCCCCAGAGGGGAGGCCAGGCCAGGUCCCGGCAGCCCAGGUGAGAUGAGGGCCUCGUGGUGGCCUUGAGGGCUGGAGGUGAGGGAAGGGCCCUGAGCCGGGUGCCACGGCCGACGCCCUGUCCUUUGCCGUGACAGUCUCUGUGCAGUGCAGGCAGCCCCCACCGAAUCCAGGUACAGUGCUCAGUGACAAGCGUAGGGAGAGUGGUCAAAUCGGAGCAGGGGCAGGGGACGUGAGUCAGGCUGAAAAGAAGAAGCUCAGAGCAGGAAGGGCAGAGGGGCCGGGAAGGGCAGGUCUGAAGCUCGGAGUGGGAAGGGCAGACGGGCUGGGAAGAGCAGGUCUGAAGCUCGGAGUGGGAGGGGCAGAGGCGGUGAAGGGUGAGUCCGGAGCAGCCUCUAGUUGCCCAGGUGCUCGGAGAGUGAGGAACCCCCCAGGGAGGGAGGAGCCCCCAACCCACAGGGCUGCAGCCUUGGACACGGCCAAGACCCG
This 2693-nucleotide long non-coding RNA is filed under the name Homo sapiens (human). Its description in RNAcentral is "HSALNT0229471". The record is from RNAcentral. Lineage: Eukaryota; Metazoa; Chordata; Mammalia; Primates; Hominidae.